Molecule: ribosomal RNA, 346 nt
Filed under: uncultured bacterium
Lineage: Bacteria
Description: partial 16S ribosomal RNA
Rfam family: Bacterial small subunit ribosomal RNA
Source: RNAcentral
CCUACGGGGGGCAGCAGUGAGGAAUAUUGGUCAAUGGGCGCGAGCCUGAACCAGCCAAGUAGCGUGAAGGAUGACUGCCCUACGGGUUGUAAACUUCUUUUAUAAAGGAAUAAAGUGAGGCACGUGUGCCUUUUUGUAUGUACUUUAUGAAUAAGGAUCGGCUAACUCCGUGCCAGCAGCCGCGGUAAUACGGAGGAUCCGAGCGUUAUCCGGAUUUAGUGGGUUUACAGGGCGCGUAGAGGGGUUGUUAAGUCAGUUGGGCAAGUUUGCGGCUCAACCGGAAAAGUGCAAUUGAUACUGGCAGUCUUUAGUACCGUUGUGGUAUGCGGCAUUCGUGGUGUCGCGG